CCUACGGGAGGCAGCAGUAAGGAAUAUUGGACAAUGCUCGCAAGAGUGAUCCAGCCAUGCCGCGUGCAGGAAGAAUGCCCUAUGGGUAGUAAACUGCUUUUGAACUAGAGAAAACCCCAGUACGUGUACUGGGCUGAUAGUAUAGUUAGAAUAAGCAUCGGCUAACUUCGUGCCAGCAGCCGCGGUAAGACGAAGGAUGCAAGCGUUAUCCGGAUUCAUUGGGUUUAAAGGGAGCGUAGGUGGACUGAUAAGUCAGUGGUGAAAUCUCCGAGCUUAACUCGGAAAUUGCCAUUGAUACUGUUGGUCUUGAGUACAGUUGCUGUGGGCGGAAUAUGACAUGUAGUGGUGAAAUACAUAGAGAUGUCAUAGAACACCGAUUGCGAAGGCAGCUCACAAAGCUGUAACUGACACUGAGGCUCGAAAGUGCGGGGAUCAAACAGGAUUAGAUACCCUGGUAGUCCGCACCGUAAACGAUGAUUACUCGCUGCUAGGGGGCAACCUUAGUGGCUUAGCGAAAGCGAUAAGAAUCCACCUGGGAGUACGCCGGCACGGUUGAACUUAAGAUAGUACGGAGNGNGAGAGCGACGGACGACGACGACGGAGGGAGGAG
Molecule: ribosomal RNA, 610 nt
Filed under: uncultured bacterium
Lineage: Bacteria
Description: bacterial SSU rRNA
Rfam family: Bacterial small subunit ribosomal RNA
Source: RNAcentral